This 434-nucleotide ribosomal RNA is filed under the name uncultured bacterium. RNAcentral describes it as "partial 16S ribosomal RNA". It matches the Rfam family "Bacterial small subunit ribosomal RNA", at positions 29 to 507 of the family's 1533-position model. The record is from RNAcentral.
AGCGAACGCUGGCGGCAGGCCUAACACAUGCAAGUCGAACGAACCUUUCGGGGUUAGUGGCGGACGGGUGAGUAACACGUGGGAACGUGCCUUUAGGUUCGGAAUAACUCAGGGAAACUCGUGCUAAUACCGAAUGUGCCCUCCGGGGGAAAGUUUUAUCGCCGUUAGAGCGGCCCGCGUCUGAUUAGCUAGUUGGUUGCGGUAAUGGCUCACCAAGGCGACGAUCAGUAGCUGGUCUGAGAGGAUGAGCAGCCACAUUGGGACUGAGACACGGCCCAAACUCCUACGGGAGGCAGCAGUGGGUGAUCUUGCGCAAUGGGCGAAAGCCUGACGCAGCCAUGCCGCGUGAAUGAUGAAGGUCUUAGGAUUGUAAAAUUCUUUCACCGGGGACGAUAAUGACGUUACCCGGAGAAGAAGCCCCGGCUAACUUCGUG